AAAAGACAAUGUCAAAGAGAGAAAGACACGGUUGAUUCCUCUCCAUCAAAGGAAUCUUGAAAGUCAAAGGUUAAGGAUAGAGAAGAUCAAUUGGUGGAAUUGCAUCCAAGCAUAGAUCAAGGUUAGUGUUUCUCUCUUCUUCUUUUAGAAAACUUUUAGGGUUGAAUUAAGAUAAAUCUAGUUUGGUCUUGGGUAGAUUUCAUAAUUGGAGCAUAAAAGUUAAUCUUACAUGUGGUAUCAGAGCCAUUCUAGAUUUAUUUAAUUCACUGUAAUUAGUUCUCAUGUGUUCAUGAACAUAUAUGGUUAAUUCCAUUUUAAAGAGUGUCCAUGAUCCAUGUUAUAGUAAACGUAUGUUGCUAUCAAGCGUGUGUUCAUAUCAUGUAUAUGCGCACUGUGUGUUGCGAACACGGUAACCGUAGUUGCGUAAAGGUUCCAGAAACUAAUAAUGUUUCUUUGAAGUAUACAACACGAGCACACGCUUGAAUGUUAUAAAUGGAUUCAUGCGUGAGACAGAAUGGUAUAGAUUCUAGGUUUAAGUGAACGGUUAACCAGUUGCAUGCAUGCGGUUUGAUUUUCUGUUAAGGUUACGUAAUAUAUUUGCAUGAAAUGGUCAAACAAGUCUGGAUUAUGUUUGUCCUGUUGUUGUCAUUUCUUUUCGCAAGGAAGGAUGAGAAAUAACUGUUCGCGUGAUGAAAAGUCACACUGCAUGCAUGUGUAACGUUAAUUUGUGAAAGAUUUUCACGGAAAGAAUAAUCAUAUCUGAAAAUAGAAUUGGUUGUACGCUAGAUUCUGGAUAUACGUAACCGUUAUUAUAGUGUGAAGAGUCACUAGUUUAGUAUAUUUUCUGGAAUUGUAUUUAUAUACAUGCAUGAAAUGUUGCAUGCUAAAUUCUGGAAUUUGAUUGACGGUUACUAGAUUGUUAUUGUGAAAAGUCACCACUAAAAGUGUGACUGAAGGAUGUUUCACAACUCUGUAGAAUCUGUUUGUCGCUGUAUUAGUGAACGUGUGCAUGGCAUGCUUAAUGAAUGCAUUAAACCUUUUGGUAUUUGUAGUUCAAUAAUAUCAUAAAGGUUUAGGCGGUGAUAUAUAGAGCCGUCGGUAUAUUUUAGUUAAAUGUCUUGUAUGGUUUGAGACAUCAAUAUAAUUCAUUUAGUUUAAAAUGCUUCCGCUGCAUUUUAAUAAUAGGUAAUUUGUGUUAUGAAAUAUUGACACAAUAUAGAAAUGAUUAUGUUAUGAAAUAAUAACGUAAUAUUAAGAUAAAUUUACCUAUUAAUAUUUUAAUAUUUAUAUAGUUUAUAACAUGUUAGUCACCAAAGUGACCUUGUUAUUUUCUUAUAAUUAUUAAAAUUAAUAUAGUAUGAUUGAUCAUGAUUAAGGAGAUGUUAAAUGACAUGAAAGUUAUAAUGAUCAAUUAUUUUAUUUUCUAUAUUCUAGGAGAUCACCCAAAGGUGGAUCAUUGAAUAUAGUUAAUAAUAUGAAAAGGAUUAUUCAUUUCUUUUACUAUAGUUAAUCGUAUUUAUACCCAAAGGUAGGAUACUAUUGACUUGAGUUUGAAAUGAUUAAUCAUUAAAGUCUAUUUUAACAUCACUGAAAGUGUUUGUGUUUAAGUAUUGCCCAAAGGUUGCUUAAAUUACAAACUUGAAAGUUUAUAUUAAUUUUAGAAUCUGAAGUAAAGUUUCAAAGUAGUAAAGGGUAAGCAUGUAUUAAAGCUUGCAGCUUCAGCAAAUGUAUUUGCAUUUGCUAACUCUGUCGUAAAGUUCAAUGGUCUCAUGGUCUGAAAAAAUCCGGUUCACACUGGGUAUGAUGACAUUAGACUUCACCGUAAUAAUUGAUGUGGGGCUCUCAGCCAUUAUGGAAGAUAACUCAUAAUAUGAAAAAUUUAUGUGUAAGAUAUGAGAGCAAUCUAAUAGGCUGAGUUUGAACGUAAUGAGGUUGAUGACGGUAGAAAGGGUUAAGUCGUCGAUGUCUAAGACAGAGUAUAAAAAGGAAUUUAUAGUCGGAUUCGGUUGUAAGUCGAAUGUAGGAAAUCUCAUAAAUGAGCUAACUAUGAAAAUGGUUGACUGGUCCCAGCUAAUCGUGAUCAUGUGACCCACAUGUCUAAUCUGGCUGUAAAGUUAAAAACCUUGGAAAUGGAGGUGCACGAGCAGUUUCUGGUCCAAUUCAUCAUGAACUCUAUACCUCUUGAGAUUAGCCAGUUUCAGGUGAAUAACAACAUCAGUAAAGAUAAUGAAACAUUAGAGAAUUAAAGGCUAUGUUUAUUCAAGAGGAGGGGAGAUCAAGGAAGAUGAAAGACCAAGUUACUAACCUCAUAGGUCUUGGAAGUGUCAGCAGCAGCAAAAUAAUCCCAAGUAGAAAGAACAAAAGGAAUAACAAGUCUUUCCUGGAAUGACUUAAAAGUCAAAUCCGAAAUGAAAUGAAGUGUUUCUUUUGCAAUAAAAUGAGACUCUUCAAGUAGGAUUGUCCUAAAAGGAAGGGUUGUUUUGAUAAGAAAGUAAACAUUAAAGUUUUGUUUGCUAUGAAAGGAGUCUUAUUGAAAUUUCUAGUAUUACUUGGUGGUUGAAAUUAGAGGCACUAAUCACGACAUAUCUAAUGAAAGUUAGGUUUCUUGUGGCAUCAAAGACCAGGUCACAUUUCCAAAGAAAGAAUGAGGUUGGUGAAGAGUGAAAGUCUUCCUCAAUUGGAUUUUAAUGACCUACAUGUAUGUAUAGAGUGCAUUAAAGGAAAGCAUAAUAAACAUAUUGUAAAGAAACCAGCCAUAAGAAGCACUCAGUUUCUUAGGUUAAUACACACCGAUAUAUGUGACCCUUUCGAUGCUCCUUCAUGAAGCGGUGAAAAGGACCUCAUCACUUUUAUUGAUGAUUACUCACAGUAUGUAUAUACUUAUCUACUGCAUGAAAGGUCUAAGUUUGUGGAUGUCCUAAAGGUGUUCACUAAUAAGAUGGCAAGGCGGCUAGAUGGAAAAGUUUAAGUAGUGAGAUCAGAUAUAGGUGGUAUGUCCUGGUCCAUUUGCAAAAUUGCUUGAAAGUACGGGCAUUUGUGCAAAACACACUAUGCCCAGUACUCCUCAGCAGAGUAGUGUAGCUGAGAGGUGGAACCGUACCUCAAUAAAGAUGGUUAGGAGCAUGUUGAGUAAAUGCUCUUUAUCCCUUUCUUUGUGGAUAUAUGGAUUAAAGACCGAAUCAUAUAUGCUGAACCAGGUUCCUAUUUAGGCAGUUCCUAAGAUUUCUUAUUAACUGUGGACAGAAAGGAAACCUAGUUUAAAGUAUCUACAUGUAUGGGGUUAACCAGAGAAAUAAGUCUAUAUAAUCCACAUGAAACGAAACUUGAUCCUAAGUCUGUCAAUGUAUUUUAUUGACUAUCAAGAGAGAUCAAAAGGGUAGUAUUUUAUUGUUCUAACCAUAGUACAAGAAAAGCUGAAUCGGGUUAUGUUAAGCUCAUUGAGAACGGUGAAACUAGUGGGAGUUGUGAACUACGAAAGGGUGGACAUUAAUGAAAUUCAAGUUAAAGUUCCUUCACCUGAGGUAGUUGUUUAUACACAAUCAAACAACAUGUGGUUGCACUGAUCUCACUAGCUAAAAUAUAUAGUCAGUGAACUUGUCACAAUUCAAUUAGAGGAUAGUGAACCACAAGUAACUUUAAAGCGAUAUGAAAGGGAAAGAAGAUCUGCCAUAUCAAAUGAUUAUGUGGUUGCUAUAGAAAGUGAAUGUGGCUUAAACAUUGAUGAAGACCCGAUCUCAUUCAAAAAGCCAUGGAAAGUGACAAUUCUGGAAAAGGUUGAUGCCACAAAGACGUAAAAAUCUAUGGGUGAUAACGAAGUUUGGUACUUAGUAGAGUUGUCUGAUGGUUUCAAUACCGUUGGUUGUAAAUGGUCUUUAAGACUAAACAUGACUCAAAAGGUAACAUUGGAAGUUACAAGGCUCCCCCUGUUGUUAAAGGUCUCACCCAGAAAAGAAGGCAUUAAUUAUGAAAAGACUUUCUUUCCAGUUUUAAAGAAUGAUUCUCUUAUAGUUGUUUUGGCUUUGGUGGCUCAUUAUGAUCUUAAGUUUCACCAGAUGGAUGUUAAACAGUUUUUCUGAAUGGAAAGCUUAAGGAGGAAGUAUAUAUGGACCAACAUGAAAGUUUCAUUGCCCGCAUGAAAAGAAAAUAUAGUGUGUAAGCUGAGAAAGAACAGGCUCCCAAACAUUGGUAUUUAAAGUUUAAUGAUACCAUCACGUCGAAUAGUUUUAGAGAGAUUAUCCUUGAUCGAUCUAUCUAUAUUAAGGUCAGUGGGAGCAAAUUUUUGGUGUUAGUCUUAUAUGUUAAUAUAAUUUUGCUUGCUGAAAAUAACAUAGACAUGUUACAUGAUCUAAAGUAGUAUCUCUUAGAACUUUGAAGUGAAAGAUAUGGGAGAGACAUCUUAUGUGAUCAUAAUAGAAAUCUUCGAAGAUAGAUCACAAGGACUGUUGAGUUUCUCCCACAUAAGAUAUAUUAGUAAGAUCUUAGAGAUAUAUGGAAUCGUAAAAUGCUCCAUAGGAAUAGCUCCAAUUCAUAAGAGGGAUAUGUUUAAUAAAAUGUAAAGUCUACAGAAUGAAUUGGAGCGUAAAGAGUAAUUCCUGAUACAUUAGUGGUUGGGAUUUUGAAUAUAUUGGAAACAUAUUCAGCUUGAUAUCAGUUUUGAUAUUGGAAAGUUGGACCGAUAAAGUAAUCCCAGAAUGAACCACUGGAACGCUGCAAAGAAAGGUCCUCUGGUACUUGCAAGGCACCAACGAGAACAUGCUUACAUAAAAGAGAUCCAAUCAAUCAAAGGUUAUAGGAUUUUCAGAUUCAAAUAAAGCCGGAUGCGUUGAUGGUAAAAAUCAACGUUUAGGUAUUGUUUCUAUUAUUUUUGGGAACAAUUUAAAGGAAAGUGGAAAGUCGUUUGUCAUUGCUACUUCCACUAUUAAGGUUGAAUUGUGGUAUGCUUUGAAGCCACAAUUCAUGUAUGGAGCCUGCGAAAAUUUAUCUCAGGGCUUUGGAUUGUCGACACUAACGCCAAACCGCUGAGAGAUUAUGGUGAUUAUUUCGCAGAUGUCUUCUUUUGAAAGGAUAACAAGCACUGGAAGGGUGCUAAGCACAUUAAGUUAUAGUACUUGUCUGUUAAAGGAGAAGUUCAGAAACAUAGAGUGUCAUUUGAGCACACAAGAAAAAGGUUUACCACCCAAGGCGUUAAAUGGUCAUUUAGAGCGUAUGGGUAUUAUAGAUAAAGCCUUGCUAUUAUAUUAUGGAAUGCUCAUUAAGAUUUUGACACCUAGAAAUUCAGUUAAAGUUAAGUUUCUGAUUUAUUGAAUAUGUUAUCAUUAAAGUAUGUGUAUACACUUAAGGUUAAUAGAUAACAUAUGGUAAAGAUUUGAGAAUAGAAGUUCUUCUCAUGUAAAGAUAAUAUAAAGUUAUAAUUGGUUUGUGAUACAUGGAAGGGACCAUGCCGAUUAAAUGACAUACAACCGCCAUGAUUCGAUCAAUUUUAAUUUUAGUAAAGAUAAAGUGGACAUGAUGAAAAGUGCACAUUAAAGUUAUUGAACUCUUAAGACGAUACAAAUGUCAAGUGGGAGAAUGUAAGAAUAUUUUAUAUUCUUAUAUGACAUAUGUGUCUAUUGGUUCAGUAUAAAGAUCAAGUUCAUAUUAAUGUUAUUGAUUCUAAUAUAAAAGACGAUACCGUGAUGGAUUGGUUUCGAUUAAAGCAUUAGUAUCGGGUGUAUUGAUAACCCUCUAUCCUUACCAUUUUAGUAUUAGUGUAUUUCUCUAUUAAUUAUUUAUAUGUAUAUAUAGUAUUUGUAGUUAGUUUAUAUUAACUAUAUAAAGAUGAUACUAUAUACAUGUAUAUGGGGGUUACAUAAAAGGUGGCUACAUAAAAAAGUGGUUACAUGGUAAUUGUCGUGAACCAUCACAACCAUUAACAUAAAUAUAUAAACCACACGUUCCCUCCUUUGUAAUGUAUUUAACGUAACAAAAGACAAUGUCAAAGAGAGAAAGACACGGUUGAUUCCUCUCCAUCAAAGGAAUCUUGAAAGUCAAAGGUUAAGGAUAGAGAAGAUCAAUUGGUGGAAUUGCAUCCAAGCAUAGAUCAAGGUUAGUGUUUCUCUCUUCUUCUUUUAGAAAACUUUUAGGGUUGAAUUAAGAUAAAUCUAGUUUGGUCUUGGGUAGAUUUCAUAAUUGGAGCAUAAAAGUUAAUCUUACAUUAUAUGCUAUCGGGAAUGAGAGAAACAAAAGGUUACAUACUUCUGUGGCUAGGCACACUUAUUUAAUUACCAAGGAGAUUUAAAUCAUUCUGAAGGCCAAGCUGUAUGGAAUGGAUCAGGAUGUAAGAAACACCAACAGGCAACAGGAUCACAUCAACUCAAACAACCACCGGAGACACGUACCUGCAUUCAUGGUUUCAAAACUUUGCGACAUAAAUUCCCAAGUUCAAGCCAAAUUCUGAAAUUGUUGUUGCACAUGUGUUUUAUUUUCUGCUUUUUACCUUGCCUGUGCCAGCCUAUUUCUUUCUGUAUUUUCUGAAACAAUGUCUCUCUCGGGAAUAAAGAUAAAAAGGAAGUUAGUAAAAAAAGAAAAAAUCAUUUCUCGUAUCGACAAGAGACAACAUCAUUGACUGACUUUGUAUACAUAUAUAAGUUUACAUCGAUUAUAAAAUUAACUUUCCAUUUUAAAAAGUAUUAUAAUUUAUUUUAUGAUUUAUAAACGC
RNAcentral lists this long non-coding RNA (6697 nucleotides) under Brassica napus (rape). RNAcentral's name for it is "long non-coding RNA (BNAP_LNC025526)". Lineage: Eukaryota; Viridiplantae; Streptophyta; Magnoliopsida; Brassicales; Brassicaceae. The record is from RNAcentral.